RNAcentral lists this ribosomal RNA (498 nucleotides) under uncultured Flavobacteriaceae bacterium. RNAcentral describes it as "bacterial SSU rRNA". It matches the Rfam family "Bacterial small subunit ribosomal RNA", at positions 28 to 524 of the family's 1533-position model. Lineage: Bacteria; Pseudomonadati; Bacteroidota; Flavobacteriia; Flavobacteriales; Flavobacteriaceae. The record is from RNAcentral.
GAUGAACGCUAGCGGGAGGCCUAACACAUGCAAGCCGAGGGGUAUAUUUCUUUCGGGAGAUAGAGACCGGCGCACGGGUGCGUAACGCGUAUGCAACUUGCCCUACUGAAAAGGAUAGCCCUUCGAAAGGAGGAUUAAUACUUUAUAAUAGAAUUCAUGGCAUCAUGAAAUUUUGAAAGAUUUAUCGCAGUAGGAUAGGCAUGCGUAAGAUUAGUUAGUUGGUGAGGUAACGGCUCACCAAGACGAUGAUCUUUAGGGGGCCUGAGAGGGUGAACCCCCACACUGGUACUGAGACACGGACCAGACUCCUACGGGAGGCAGCAGUGAGGAAUAUUGGACAAUGGGGUGGAAGCCUGAUCCAGCCAUCCCCGCGUGUAGGAUGACGGCCUUAUGGGUUGUAAACUACUUUUAUCUGGGGAUAAACCUACUUACGUGUAAGUAGCCGAAGGUACCAGAAGAAUAAGCACCGGCUAACUCCGUGCCAGCAGCCGCCGUAAU